This 253-nucleotide ribosomal RNA is filed under the name uncultured bacterium. RNAcentral describes it as "partial 16S ribosomal RNA". It matches the Rfam family "Bacterial small subunit ribosomal RNA", at positions 524 to 776 of the family's 1533-position model. The record is from RNAcentral.
GACGAACCACACGAACGUUAUUCGGAAUUACUGGGCUUAAAGGGUGCGUAGGCUGUGCAGAAAGUUAGGUGUGAAAUCCCCCGGCUCAACCGGGGAAUUGCGCUUAAAACUACUGUGCUAGAGAAAGAUAGAGGUGAGCGGAACUUCGGGUGGAGCGGUGAAAUGCGUUGAUAUCCGAAGGAACACCGGUGGCGAAAGCGACAUCCUGGCAUUAGCCUGACGCUCAUGUGCGAAAGCGUGGGGAGCGAACGGG